This is a long non-coding RNA of Varroa destructor (honeybee mite), 1092 nucleotides long. RefSeq lists it as uncharacterized. The record is from RefSeq and is a predicted model, not a curated record. NCBI's taxonomy places the organism in Eukaryota, Metazoa, Arthropoda, Arachnida, Mesostigmata, Varroidae.
CGGCUUUUCCCUGACGUUUCAGAGAAAAAACCAUUCGAAGGGAUCAACCGUUUCUGACGGCGACAGGUUUGAUACCUAUCCGUGAGUGGCUGAACUUUCGGAAGAACCAAAAAAAGACAAUCCAUCAUCCGCGACCCCUUACACGUUUCCCUUUUCAACCCAUGGCAGCUGUUCAAGGCUUUAAUGACAGGACAGUCGUAAAGUUUCUUCAGGGAAAGUCGGCAGUUCCAUGAACGCCUAGCAGGACGAUGCUCGAACGAGGGGCAAACAAGGAACCAAUAACACAGGAACAUCUCCGCGAUUCGUUUGCAUUCAUAAGUUUGCUUGCUUCGAAACUAGCUGUAAAGACUCUUCGAAUACAACGCAUUGCCGGAACGGAUGCUUCACCUUCUAAACUAACCCAAGCGGAACAGCACUAUAUGUAAUGUUGCAAACGACUAUGCAGCAGCUUCUUCCUCAGGAACAGCAGCAGUAACAACAAAAACAAGUGUGCUUCGUACACCGAAACAAUAAAUAACAUUAAUGUGAUACAAUCUAAGAGAGAGAAAGAUAAUAACCAGGAGAGGAUUAUCCAACUGGCUAGAGCUUGCUUUAGGUUCCGCUUGGCUUUACCUCACCCGCUGUUUUAUAUAUAUGUGUUUGUCUGGCUGCUGUUGUCAAGAGCAUUAAGCCAACUAGUAACGGUCAAGCUAUUGGCUAUUUAGCGAACAGCGCGUCGUGGCGCAUAGCGCCGAGCGUAACAGCUGAUUUAAUGUGGAGCCAACGAUAAAAGGCCCGGGUCGGGCAGUGUCGGUGAGCUACGCUGGUGCUUGGCUGGAACAUCUCUCGAUUGAGGAGCGAUAGCGAGAGAGGCAGAACGAUAAAACAAAUAAGCAUUAUGAGAAGGUUGCUUGACGGAAGGAGCUUGGUUGAUGAUAUUGCCGUAUCGACGACUGUCAACGAAUGGAUCUCUCGGUUUAGUGGUCUACGAGGUUGGCUGUGCGAUUACACAAAACCAAGGAUCGGGUACGACCGAAGUAAAAUUGUAUAGUGAAAGGCUAUAGCAUAUCUGGCAUGCUAAUGGAAAUUUAUACAUAUAUACCUCGUCUAGGG